RNAcentral lists this ribosomal RNA (839 nucleotides) under Acinetobacter sp. RNAcentral's name for it is "bacterial SSU rRNA". It matches the Rfam family "Bacterial small subunit ribosomal RNA", at positions 40 to 874 of the family's 1533-position model. The record is from RNAcentral. Lineage: Bacteria; Pseudomonadati; Pseudomonadota; Gammaproteobacteria; Moraxellales; Moraxellaceae.
CGGAGGCUUACACAUGCACGUCGAGCGGAGUUGUGGUGCUUGCACCAUAACUUAGCGGCGGACGGGUGAGUAAUGCUUAGGAAUCUGCCUAUUAGUGGGGGACAACAUCUCGAAAGGGAUGCUAAUACCGCAUACGCCCUACGGGGGAAAGCAGGGGAUCUUCGGACCUUGCGCUAAUAGAUGAGCCUAAGUCGGAUUAGCUAGUUGGUGGGGUAAAGGCCUACCAAGGCGACGAUCUGUAGCGGGUCUGAGAGGAUGAUCCGCCACACUGGGACUGAGACACGGCCCAGACUCCUACGGGAGGCAGCAGUGGGGAAUAUUGGACAAUGGGGGGAACCCUGAUCCAGCCAUGCCGCGUGUGUGAAGAAGGCCUUUUGGUUGUAAAGCACUUUAAGCGAGGAGGAGGCUACUCUAGUUAAUACCUAGGGAUAGUGGACGUUACUCGCAGAAUAAGCACCGGCUAACUCUGUGCCAGCAGCCGCGGUAAUACAGAGGGUGCGAGCGUUAAUCGGAUUUACUGGGCGUAAAGCGUGCGUAGGCGGCUUUUUAAGUCGGAUGUGAAAUCUCUGAGCUUAACUUAGGAAUUGCAUUCGAUACUGGGAAGCUAGAGUAUGGGAGAGGAUGGUAGAAUUCCAGGUGUAGCGGUGAAAUGCGUAGAGAUCUGGAGGAAUACCGAUGGCGAAGGCAGCCAUCUGGUCUAAUACUGACGCUGAGGUACGAAAGCAUGGGGGAGCAAACAGGAUUAGAUACUCUGGUAGUCCAUGCCGUAAACGAUGUCUACUAGCCGUUGGGGCCUUUGAGGCUUUAGUGGCGCAGCUAACGCGAUAAGUAGACCGCCU